RNAcentral lists this long non-coding RNA (1079 nucleotides) under Lonchura striata (white-rumped munia). RNAcentral describes it as "domestica (Bengalese finch) lncRNA (ENSLSDG00000012447.1)". Lineage: Eukaryota; Metazoa; Chordata; Aves; Passeriformes; Estrildidae. The record is from RNAcentral.
GGAUUCCAUCCCAAAUCCAGGAAAACUCCACGGAUUCCAUCCCAAAUCCAGGAAAAUUCCAUGGAUUCCAUCCCAAAUCGAGGAAAAUUCCAUGGAUUCCAUCCCAAAUCUGGAAAAAUUCCAUAAAUUCUGACCCAAAUCUGGGAGAAUUCCAUAAAUUCUGACCCAGAUCCGGGAAAAUUCCAUGGAUUCCGUCCCAAAUCCAGGACUACUCCAUGCAUUCCGUCCCAAAUCUGGAAAAAUUCCAUAAAUUCUGACCCAGAUCCGGGAAAAUUCCAUGGAUUCCGUCCCAAAUCUGGGCAAAUUCCAUCCCUAGUCUGGGAAAAUGCCAGGAAAAUCCCAGGAAAAGUUCCAGGAAUUCCAUUCCCUACCCAGGAAAACUCCAUCACAAAUCCAGGAAAAUCCCAUAAAUUCUGACCCAAAUCCAGGAAAGGUCCACGGAGUCCAUCCCAAAUCCAGGAAAAUUCCAUUCCCAAAUCCAGAAAAAGUCCGUUCCGAGUCCAUGAAAAUUCCACAAAUUCUGUGCCCGGUCCAUGAAAAUUCCAUGAAUUCCUCUCCAGUCCAGGGAAAUUCCAUCCCAAUCCAGGAGAAUUCCGAGAAUUCCAUCCCAAUCCAGGAGAAUUCCAUGAAUUCUGUCCCAAUCCAGGAGAAUUCCAUGAAUUCCAUCCCAAAUCCAGAAUUCCGUUCCCAGUCCCUCCAUCCCGGGAAGAGCCAAAUCCUCUUUUUCUCCUGGAAAAUUCCCCCCCCCAGAAUUCCCAAAUUUUCUGUUCCCCCUUUGGAACAGGAAAAUCCCAAAAAACCCCAAAACCAAAAAAAAAGCCCAAAACCCCAUCCCAAAAAUUCCAAGGGCGCCCCUCCCCCCCAGCCUCUGGAUGAGAAUUCCCAGGAAAAAGGGGAAUUAUCCCAAAAAUAGUUAAAUAUUCAUAAAUAUUCCACUCUGAGGGGCGGGAAUUGGGAAAAAAAUGGGGAAAAAUUGGGAAAAAAUCUGGGGAAAUUGGGAAAAAAUUGGGGAAAUUUCCCCUCCUGAUCUGAUAAAAAAUGGGAAUAAACCAGGACUGGGAGGGAAUUUGUCUAAUAUA